UCAGUUUAAGCGCUUAGGCCCUUUCAUCCAGAUGGUUAUUCUCGAAGCCAUCCGUUAAUCCAAUUAAUUAUGAACACAUGUAGAAGAAGUUAAACAGUUCCCUGCGUUUCAUAUUCUUCGAAGGGAGAGAAACAGAGAGACAUCACUUAAUAUGUUCCGUACCUUCCGUAGACCUUCAAAAUUCUUAGAAUAUUGUUGGAAGAACCACAACGGAAGAGUGCAGUUGAAGAGGAUCGAGAACAAGAUUAACAGGCAA
Molecule: non-coding RNA, 256 nt
Organism: Arachis ipaensis
Lineage: Eukaryota; Viridiplantae; Streptophyta; Magnoliopsida; Fabales; Fabaceae
Source: RefSeq, a predicted model, not a curated record